Molecule: transfer RNA, 83 nt
Filed under: Streptomyces poonensis
Lineage: Bacteria; Bacillati; Actinomycetota; Actinomycetes; Kitasatosporales; Streptomycetaceae
Description: tRNA-Arg
Source: RNAcentral
GGUGAUCGUCGGCGAGCUGGCCCGCGCCCUGGGACUGCGCUUCCCGGAGCUGGUCCUCGUGCGGUUCGACCCGGCGAUCGCCG